RNAcentral lists this ribosomal RNA (445 nucleotides) under uncultured bacterium. Its description in RNAcentral is "bacterial SSU rRNA". It matches the Rfam family "Bacterial small subunit ribosomal RNA", at positions 329 to 792 of the family's 1533-position model. The record is from RNAcentral.
GGCCAGACUCCUACGGGAGGCAGCAGUGGGGGAUAUUGCACAAUGGAGGAAACUCUGAUGCAGCGACGCCGCGUGAGGGAAGACGGUCUUCGGAUUGUAAACCUCUGUCUUUGGGGAAGAAAAUGACGGUACCCAAAGAGGAAGCUCCGGCUAACUACGUGCCAGCAGCCGCGGUAAUACGUAGGGAGCGAGCGUUGUCCGGAAUUACUGGGUGUAAAGGGAGCGUAGGCGGGCGAGAAAGUUGAAUGUUAAAUCUACCGGCUUAACUGGUAGCUGCGUUCAAAACUUCUUGUCUUGAGUGAAGUAGAGGCAGGCGGAAUUCCUAGUGUAGCGGUGAAAUGCGUAGAUAUCAGGAGGAACACCGGUGGCGAAGGCGACUUUCUGGACUGCACCUGACGCUGAGGCGCGAAAGCGUGGGUAGCGAACGGGAUUAGAUACCCGUGUA